Molecule: ribosomal RNA, 465 nt
Filed under: uncultured bacterium
Lineage: Bacteria
Description: partial 16S ribosomal RNA
Rfam family: Bacterial small subunit ribosomal RNA
Source: RNAcentral
GACGAACGCUGGCGGCGUGCUUAACACAUGCAAGUCGAACGGAAAGGCCCUGCUUGCAGGGUACUCGAGUGGCGAACGGGUGAGUAACACGUGGGUGAUCUGCCCUGCACUUCGGGAUAAGCCUGGGAAACUGGGUCUAAUACCGGAUAGGAGCCAUUUUUAGUGUGAUGGUUGGAAAGUUUUUUCGGUGUAGGAUGAGCUCGCGGCCUAUCAGCUUGUUGGUGGGGUAAUGGCCUACCAAGGCGGCGACGGGUAGCCGGCCUGAGAGGGUGGACGGCCACAUUGGGACUGAGAUACGGCCCAGACUCCUACGUGAGGCAGCAGUGGGGAAUAUUGCACAAUGGGCGCAAGCCUGAUGCAGCGACGCCGCGUGGGGGAUGACGGCCUUCGGGUUGUAAACUCCUUUCGCUAGGGACGAAGCUUUUUGUGACGGUACCUAGAUAAGAAGCACCGGCUAACUACGUG